CGUUGAUUACGUCCCUGCCCUUUGUACACACCGCCCGUCGCUACUACCGAUUGAAUGGCUCAGUGAGGCGUUCGGACUGGCCCGAAGAGGUGGGCAACGACCACCCCGGGCCGGAAAGUUCUUCAAACUCGGUCAUUUAGAGGAAGUAAAAGUCGUAACAAGG
Molecule: ribosomal RNA, 163 nt
Filed under: Pyrenochaeta sp.
Lineage: Eukaryota; Fungi; Ascomycota; Dothideomycetes; Pleosporales; Cucurbitariaceae
Description: partial small subunit ribosomal RNA
Rfam family: Eukaryotic small subunit ribosomal RNA
Source: RNAcentral